GGACUGUGGCUCAGUGGUACAGCGCCUGCCUCGCAAGUGUGAGGCACUGGGUUCAAUCCUCAGCACCA
Molecule: transfer RNA, 68 nt
Filed under: Marmota monax (woodchuck)
Lineage: Eukaryota; Metazoa; Chordata; Mammalia; Rodentia; Sciuridae
Description: tRNA.Ala
Source: RNAcentral